RNAcentral lists this unclassified non-coding RNA (479 nucleotides) under Hevea brasiliensis (rubber tree). The record is from RNAcentral. Lineage: Eukaryota; Viridiplantae; Streptophyta; Magnoliopsida; Malpighiales; Euphorbiaceae.
AUUCAAGAUAGUUCAUUUUCAUAGCUUGGUAAAUAAAUGAUGGAGUUCAUAUUUAAGUAUAAAAUAAGGGAAAGGACUGGGACAGUGUAUAUAUUUCUGGUCUUUCUGAUGUAUCAAUUUAUAAAUGUAGAUUAUACGUAAUGGGCACUCGAUAAUAGCAUUGAACUUUCGGAAGAAUCAACAGAAGCUUGCAAAUUGAUUAGCACUUCCAAUUUCUAUGACUUUUAUGCAGUUUUUGCCUUUGCUUCUUUGUAUAGUUGAUCCACAAUAUCCUUGUAAUAGUUGAGCAGUUGUGGUCUUUUGAGUUUGAAUGUAGGGGUAACUAAUUCUCUCUCAAUGUCAAAUGGAUUUGGUUCCAAAUGAACUGCACGUAACAGUUUUGAAUCCUUCCUAGUGGCUGUGGUAGUUCCAGAAAGAAAGGCACUUGAAGAGUGGGCCUCGAAUAAUCAAGAAACCGGAGAUUUUUCAUCUCUAUGUAA